Long non-coding RNA from Helianthus annuus (common sunflower), 754 nucleotides. RefSeq lists it as uncharacterized. NCBI's taxonomy places the organism in Eukaryota, Viridiplantae, Streptophyta, Magnoliopsida, Asterales, Asteraceae. The record is from RefSeq and is a predicted model, not a curated record. The transcript is spliced from 3 exons.
UUAAUUUGAUAAAACAAAUAAAAAACAAACCAAACACCCCAUUUGGGAUGUCUGGUCGUACAAGAACACAGGGGGCGACACAGGCUCCCCACCAAACCCUUGUGCAUGUCAAACUUGAUCAAAUUGAGGGUUCAAAUCAGUCCCAAAUCGAAAUCCAAGCUCGUAUUCAUGAACACCAAGUUGAAAGGAUCACAAGUUUGACGCGUAACAAGCUAGGUGGAAACUUGGAGUGAAAGCGGGUCAAACAAGUCAAGCAUGGAAGAAAAGCGUAGCUCGGAUGCAAGGUAAGUGAAACUUACAUAAUUGUGUAGAUUACUUGUUCAUUCUAUACGUUAUAGAUGCAAUAAUGCUAAUAUUGAAAAUAUGGAUUUCCGACGUGAUUGAUACGAGUCGGAACAUAUAAAGAUGAUAAAAACCAUGUUUAUGGCAAAAAGGGGGAUUCGGUAAUGAAAUCCGGGACGGGAUGGAUGUAUGAAUUAGAAGUCAAAAACCAUGUUUUUGAUUUAAUAGGCAACGUUGGGCAUAUAGGCCGAACGGGUCAAAUGGUGGUGAUAACACUAUUUGACAAUAUCGACUAAUGCGAUUGUCAAGUCUUGUGUUAACAGGAGCGAUUAGCGAUUCAGUUAAUUUCGCCCACACUAAGUGUGAUGAUAAAAGCAAGGUAUAAAUUGGGUCUAUAUGUUGACCCUAGCCAGGUACUUUGUGGAAGCCGGAAGACGAUCAAGCUCAACGAAGAACCGAACACGAUACAGUU